This 405-nucleotide ribosomal RNA is filed under the name uncultured bacterium. Its description in RNAcentral is "bacterial SSU rRNA". It matches the Rfam family "Bacterial small subunit ribosomal RNA", at positions 355 to 776 of the family's 1533-position model. The record is from RNAcentral.
UGGGGAAUAUUGCGCAAUGGGGGAAACCCUGACGCAGCAACGCCGCGUGAAGGAUGAAGGCUUUCGGGUUGUAAACUUCUUUAGCCAGGGACGAAGAAUGACGGUACCUGGAAAAUAAGCCACGGCUAACUACGUGCCAGCAGCCGCGGUAAUACGUAGGUGGCAAGCGUUGUCCGGAUUUACUGGGUGUAAAGGGCGUGUAGGCGGGUACUUAAGUCAGAUGUGAAAUUCUUGGGCUCAACCCAAGCGCUGCAUCUGAAACUGAGGAUCUUGAGUACUGGAGAGGGAAGCGGAAUUCCUAGUGUAGCGGUGAAAUGCGUAGAUAUUAGGAGGAACACCAGUGGCGAAGGCGGCUUUCUGGACAGUAACUGACGCUGAGGCGCGAAAGCGUGGGGAGCAAACAGG